Molecule: long non-coding RNA, 770 nt
Organism: Chelonus insularis
Lineage: Eukaryota; Metazoa; Arthropoda; Insecta; Hymenoptera; Braconidae
Exons: 4
Source: RefSeq, a predicted model, not a curated record
GAGUACAGAGGGCAUUGCUGGCUAUUUUUUGUCUUAUUGGACCAUCCCAUUUGUCCCAUCUAUCAAAAAUACGCGUCAUCAUGAAAACCAUUCCAACUUUGACGAACUUAGCACAAAAAAGUUCUAUAAAAAAAUAAUCCUCUAUUUAUUUGACUAUUUUUAUCAUCGAUUUUUGAUCGUAUUGAAUAUUUUAAGCUUGCUUACUGCUCAUUGUAAAAUAUUUAAAACAUUCCAGCAGAAUUUUUAGUUUCAAGCGAGGUGAGUAACCGAUGCACACAAAAGUUUUCUCCAAGGUCGCUGCUAUUCCAUCUUUAACGAGAAUUUGCACAGCAAAUGCUGUACCCAAAAAAGAUUUUUUAAGAUAAUAAGAAGUGGUAAUAGCAAUCGAGCAUCGUUAUAAUGUUGUUUGAGUAAAGAAUGAAAUAUCUUUGUAGCACUUGAAAUCCGUAUUUUCAUUGAAAAUUUUGGAUCUUUUUGAGCAAUCUACAAUAAAUAAAUAUUUAUAUCAUUAAUUAUAGGUGCUGACAUUCUAGUAAAUUUAUUCAAAACAAUUAUUAAAUGGCCUAAAAAAAAUUCAAGUCUAAGACGAAUAAGAAGGAUGCUGUAUUCAUGCAAUAAAUAAUCAAGGGUGUUAUGGUUGCGGAAUUCUUGCAUGUCUACAAUCGUGUCAAUUUAUUGGAGAUGUGCUCAAAUUUAUUCACUCAAUAUUAUUUGAAUUUUGAUGAGAUAUAUUUCAUCUAACAUUCAUAGUCAUUGACUUUAGAUAGGAC